RNAcentral lists this ribosomal RNA (725 nucleotides) under Actinomycetes bacterium. RNAcentral's name for it is "bacterial SSU rRNA". It matches the Rfam family "Bacterial small subunit ribosomal RNA", at positions 80 to 819 of the family's 1533-position model. The record is from RNAcentral. Lineage: Bacteria; Bacillati; Actinomycetota; Actinomycetes.
UCGGGAGGGGAUUAGUGGCGAACGGGUGAGUAACACGUGGGCAAUCUGCCCUUCACUCUGGGACAAGCCCUGGAAACGGGGUCUAAUACCGGAUACGACCUCCGACCGCAUGGUCUGGUGGUGGAAAGCUCCGGCGGUGAAGGAUGAGCCCGCGGCCUAUCAGCUUGUUGGUGGGGUGAUGGCCUACCAAGGCGACGACGGGUAGCCGGCCUGAGAGGGCGACCGGCCACACUGGGACUGAGACACGGCCCAGACUCCUACGGGAGGCAGCAGUGGGGAAUAUUGCACAAUGGGCGAAAGCCUGAUGCAGCGACGCCGCGUGAGGGAUGACGGCCUUCGGGUUGUAAACCUCUUUCAGCAGGGAAGAAGCGAGAGUGACGGUACCUGCAGAAGAAGCGCCGGCUAACUACGUGCCAGCAGCCGCGGUAAUACGUAGGGCGCAAGCGUUGUCCGGAAUUAUUGGGCGUAAAGAGCUCGUAGGCGGCUUGUCGCGUCGGAUGUGAAAGCCCGGGGCUUAACCCCGGGUCUGCAUUCGAUACGGGCAGGCUAGAGUUCGGUAGGGGAGAUCGGAAUUCCUGGUGUAGCGGUGAAAUGCGCAGAUAUCAGGAGGAACACCGGUGGCGAAGGCGGAUCUCUGGGCCGAUACUGACGCUGAGGAGCGAAAGCGUGGGGAGCGAACAGGAUUAGAUACCCUGGUAGUCCACGCCGUAAACGUUGGGAACUAG